Molecule: ribosomal RNA, 1236 nt
Filed under: Lacticaseibacillus casei
Lineage: Bacteria; Bacillati; Bacillota; Bacilli; Lactobacillales; Lactobacillaceae
Description: bacterial SSU rRNA
Rfam family: Bacterial small subunit ribosomal RNA
Source: RNAcentral
UGCCUAUACAUGCAGUCGAACGAACUCUGGUAUUGAUUGGUGCUUGCAUCAUGAUUUACAUUUGAGUGAGUGGCGAACUGGUGAGUAACACGUGGGAAACCUGCCCAGAAGCGGGGGAUAACACCUGGAAACAGAUGCUAAUACCGCAUAACAACUUGGACCGCAUGGUCCGAGUUUGAAAGAUGGCUUCGGCUAUCACUUUUGGAUGGUCCCGCGGCGUAUUAGCUAGAUGGUGGGGUAACGGCUCACCAUGGCAAUGAUACGUAGCCGACCUGAGAGGGUAAUCGGCCACAUUGGGACUGAGACACGGCCCAAACUCCUACGGGAGGCAGCAGUAGGGAAUCUUCCACAAUGGACGAAAGUCUGAUGGAGCAACGCCGCGUGAGUGAAGAAGGGUUUCGGCUCGUAAAACUCUGUUGUUAAAGAAGAACAUAUCUGAGAGUAACUGUUCAGGUAUUGACGGUAUUUAACCAGAAAGCCACGGCUAACUACGUGCCAGCAGCCGCGGUAAUACGUAGGUGGCAAGCGUUGUCCGGAUUUAUUGGGCGUAAAGCGAGCGCAGGCGGUUUUUUAAGUCUGAUGUGAAAGCCUUCGGCUCAACCGAAGAAGUGCAUCGGAAACUGGGAAACUUGAGUGCAGAAGAGGACAGUGGAACUCCAUGUGUAGCGGUGAAAUGCGUAGAUAUAUGGAAGAACACCAGUGGCGAAGGCGGCUGUCUGGUCUGUAACUGACGCUGAGGCUCGAAAGUAUGGGUAGCAAACAGGAUUAGAUACCCUGGUAGUCCAUACCGUAAACGAUGAAUGCUAAGUGUUGGAGGGUUUCCGCCCUUCAGUGCUGCAGCUAACGCAUUAAGCAUUCCGCCUGGGGAGUACGGCCGCAAGGCUGAAACUCAAAGGAAUUGACGGGGGCCCGCACAAGCGGUGGAGCAUGUGGUUUAAUUCGAAGCUACGCGAAGAACCUUACCAGGUCUUGACAUACUAUGCAAAUCUAAGAGAUUAGACGUUCCCUUCGGGGACAUGGAUACAGGUGGUGCAUGGUUGUCGUCAGCUCGUGUCCUGAGAAGUUUGGGGUUAAGUCCCCGCAACGAGCGCAACCCUUAUUAUCAGUUGCCAGCAUUAAGUUGGGGCCUCUGGUGAGACUGCCCGUGACAACCCGAGGAGAGAGGGGGGGAGGAAGUCCAAAUAAUAUUGGCCCCUUUUAACCGGGGGGUCACACCGGGUCCAAAGGAAGGGUGCA